This 367-nucleotide ribosomal RNA is filed under the name uncultured bacterium. Its description in RNAcentral is "bacterial SSU rRNA". It matches the Rfam family "Bacterial small subunit ribosomal RNA", at positions 30 to 404 of the family's 1533-position model. The record is from RNAcentral.
AUUGAACGCUGGCGGCAUGCCUUACACAUGCAAGUCGAACGGUAACAGGUUAAGCUGACGAGUGGCGAACGGGUGAGUAAUGUAUCGGAACGUGCCCAGUCGUGGGGGAUAACUGCUCGAAAGAGCAGCUAAUACCGCAUACGACCUGAGGGUGAAAGCGGGGGAUCGCAAGACCUCGCGCGAUUGGAGCGGCCGAUAUCAGAUUAGGUAGUUGGUGGGGUAAAGGCCUACCAAGCCUACGAUCUGUAGCUGGUCUGAGAGGACGACCAGCCACACUGGGACUGAGACACGGCCCAGACUCCUACGGGAGGCAGCAGUGGGGAAUUUUGGACAAUGGACGCAAGUCUGAUCCAGCCAUGCCGCGUGC